AGGGCACCACCAGGAGUGGAGCCUGCGGCUUAAUUUGACUCAACACGGGGGAACUUACCCGGCCUGGACACUGGAAGGAUUGACAGAUUGAGAGCUCUUUCUUGAUUCAGUGGGUGGUGGUGCAUGGCCGUUCUUAGUUGGUGGAGCGAUUUGUCUGGUUAAUUCCGAUAACGAACGAGACUCUAGCCUAUUAAAUAGGCUCUCGGCUUUUAAACGCCGGGAGGACUUCUUAGAGGGACAGGUGGCGGUUCAGCCGCACGAAAGAGAGCAAUAACAGGUCUGUGAUGCCCUUUGUUGUCCGGGGCCGCACGCGCGCUACACUGAAGAGAUCAGCGUGCUUUACGUUCCUGCUCCGACCGGGGUGGGGAACCCAGUGAACCUUCUUCGUGAUUGGGAUAGAAGAUUGUAAUUAUUCUUCUUGAACGAGGAAUUCCCAGUAAAUGCGAGUCAUAAGCUCGCGUUGAUUACGUCCCUGCCCUUUGUACACACCGCCCGUCGCUACUAUCGAUUGAACGAUUU
RNAcentral lists this ribosomal RNA (519 nucleotides) under uncultured eukaryote. Its description in RNAcentral is "SSU rRNA". It matches the Rfam family "Eukaryotic small subunit ribosomal RNA", at positions 1161 to 1699 of the family's 1831-position model. The record is from RNAcentral.